GGCGAAUGUAAAGACUGACUAAGCAUGUAGUACUGAGGAUGUAGGAAUUUCGGACGCGGGUUCAACUCCCGCCAGCUCCACCA
Molecule: transfer-messenger RNA, 83 nt
Filed under: Pantoea sp.
Lineage: Bacteria; Pseudomonadati; Pseudomonadota; Gammaproteobacteria; Enterobacterales; Erwiniaceae
Description: partial transfer-messenger RNA
Rfam family: transfer-messenger RNA
About the family: Bacterial tmRNA, also known as 10Sa RNA or SsrA, is named for its dual tRNA and mRNA-like properties. Its role is to liberate the mRNA from a stalled ribosome.
Source: RNAcentral